AAUAAGAACCCACGUUGCGUAACAUGGAAUCUACUGAGUGAUAGGGAGGCUGUUCCAGAGUAAUGGGGCUGCAGCUGAGAAGGCUCUGUCACCCAUAGUGGUUUUGGUGGUUGGCUGAGACAGAAGAAGGGAGUUGCUGGAGCGGAGAGAUGUGCUGGGAGUAUGGAGAGUUACAAGAUUCUUCAGAUAUUUGGGAAAGUCAUUUUCGUAAAUGCAGCUGUGUGUGAAGAGGAGAAGUUUGAAAUUGAUUCUGAAGGAUAUGGGGAGCCAGUGAAGUUGUUCGAGGAUGGGAGUGAUGCUGUCAUAUCGUGGAACACGGACAACAACUCGGGCAGCAGAGUUUUGAUUUCUUUGCAGUUUGGAAAGUAGAUGUCCAGGAAUGUUAAAGUAGAUAGAGUUGCAGUAGUCGAGUUUGGAGAUUACAAGACUUGUCAUGAGUAACUGAGAUGUGUUAUAG
Molecule: long non-coding RNA, 457 nt
Organism: Haliotis rubra (blacklip abalone)
Lineage: Eukaryota; Metazoa; Mollusca; Gastropoda; Lepetellida; Haliotidae
Exons: 2
Source: RefSeq, a predicted model, not a curated record